Non-coding RNA from Pangasianodon gigas (Mekong giant catfish), 71 nucleotides. The record is from the annotation of a GenBank genome assembly. Lineage: Eukaryota; Metazoa; Chordata; Actinopteri; Siluriformes; Pangasiidae.
GAACUGAGUGGCGUAGUGGUUCGCACGUUUGCCUCGCACCUCUGGGGUUGCGGGUUCGAAUCCCGCCUCCA